RNAcentral lists this ribosomal RNA (562 nucleotides) under uncultured organism. RNAcentral's name for it is "bacterial SSU rRNA". It matches the Rfam family "Bacterial small subunit ribosomal RNA", at positions 942 to 1487 of the family's 1533-position model. The record is from RNAcentral.
UGGCUUAAUCCGAUGCAACGCGAAGAACCUUACCUGGCCUUGACAUGCAUUGUGUCGUCGGUGAAAGCCGGCUAGUCCUGGAAACAGGACCGCCUUUGCACAAAGGUGCUGCNAUGGCUGUCGUCAGCUCGUGUCGUGAGAUGUUNGGGUUAAGUCCCGCAACGAGCGCAACCCUUGUGGUCAGUUACUAACCGGCUUAGCCGGAGGACUCUGGCCAGACUGCCCUGUCAAACNGGGGAGGAAGGUGGGGACGACGUCAAGUCAGNUAUGGCCCUUAUGGCCAGGGCUGCACACGUACUACAAUGCCCGGUACAAUGUGAACCGAAACCGCGAGGUGGAGGAAAUCGCUCUUGAAAACCGGGCCCAGUUCGGAUUGGAGUCUGCAACUCGACUCCAUGAAGUCGGAAUCGCUAGUAAUGGCGUAUCAGCAAGACGCCGUGAAUACGUUCCCGGGUCUUGUACACACCGCCCGUCACAUCAUGGAAGUCUCCUGUACCCGAAGCACGUGCGCCAACCUUUCAGGAGCAGCGUUCGAAGUAUGGGAGGUAACUGGGAUGAAGUC